AGCGAACGCUGGCGGCAGGCUUAACACAUGCAAGUCGAACGCCCCGCAAGGGGAGUGGCAGACGGGUGAGUAACACGUGGGAACGUACCCUUUGGUUCGGAAUAACUUGGGGAAACUCAAGCUAAUACCGGAUAAGCCCUUAUGGGGAAAGGUUUACUGCCGAAGGAUCGGCCCGCGUCCGAUUAGCUAGUUGGUGAGGUAACGGCUCACCAAGGCGACGAUCAGUAGCUGGUCUGAGAGGAUGAUCAGCCACACUGGGACUGAGACGCGGCCCAGACUCCUACGGGAGGCAGCAGUGGGGAAUAUUGGACAAUGGGGGCAACCCUGAUCCAGCCAUGCCGCGUGAGUGAUGAAGGCCUUAGGGUUGUAAAGCUCUUUUACCCGGGACGAUAAUGACUGUACCGGGAGAAUAAGCCCCGGCUAACUUCGUGCCAGCCGCCGCGGUAA
This 447-nucleotide ribosomal RNA is filed under the name uncultured bacterium. RNAcentral describes it as "partial 16S ribosomal RNA". It matches the Rfam family "Bacterial small subunit ribosomal RNA", at positions 29 to 523 of the family's 1533-position model. The record is from RNAcentral.